This 253-nucleotide ribosomal RNA is filed under the name uncultured bacterium. RNAcentral describes it as "partial 16S ribosomal RNA". It matches the Rfam family "Bacterial small subunit ribosomal RNA", at positions 524 to 776 of the family's 1533-position model. The record is from RNAcentral.
UACAGAGGUCCCGAGCGUUGUUCGGAUUCACUGGGCGUAAAGGGUGCGUAGGUGGCUUGGUAAGUUUGAUGUGAAAGCUCAGGGCUCAACCCUGAAAUGGCAUUGAAUACUACUGAGCUGGAGGUUUGGAGGGGGGGCUGGAAUUCUUGGUGUAGCAGUGAAAUGCGUAGAUAUCAAGAGGAACACCAGUGGCGAAGGCGAGUCCCUGGACAACACCUGACACUGAGGCACGAAAGCUAGGGGAGCAAACAGG